GUCGAACGUGAAGCCUAGUACCUAGUAUUGGGUGGAAAGUGGCGAACGGGUGAGUAACACGUUGGUGACCUGUCCCGAGGAGGGGGAUAACCGUGGGAAACCAUGGCUAAUACCCCGGAUGUCUAGGUUGUUAGAGAGCCUAGGCCAAAGCUCCGGCGCCUUGGGAGGGGCCUGCGGGCUAUCAGCUUGUUGGUGGGGUAACGGCCUACCAAGGCUAAGACGGCUAGGGGGCGUGAGAGCGCGACCCCCCACAAUGGAACUGAGACACGGUCCAUACUCCUACGGGAGGCAGCAGUGAGGAAUAUUGCGCAAUGGGGGCAACCCUGACGCAGCAACGCCGCGUGGACGAUGAAGGCCUUCGGGUUGUAAAGUCCUUUUUUGGGGGAUGAUAAUGACGGUACCCCAAGAAUAAGUCCCGGCUAACUACGUGCCAGCAGCCGCGGUAAAACGUAGGGGGCGAGCGUUAUCCGGAUUUACUGGGCGUAAAGCGCACGUAGGCGGCGCUGUAAGUUGGACGUGAAAGCUCUCGGCUUAACUGGGAGAGGUCGUUCAAUACUGCGGUGCUCGAGGUUGGGAGAGGAGAGUGGAAUUCCCGGUGUAGUGGUGGAAUGCGUAGAUAUCGGGAGGAACACCAGUGGCGAAGGCGACUCUCUGGUCCACACCUGACGCUGAGGUGCGAAAGCGUGGGGAGCGAACGGGAUUAGAUACCCCGGUAGUCCACGCCGUAAACGAUGGAUACUAGG
This 743-nucleotide ribosomal RNA is filed under the name uncultured organism. RNAcentral describes it as "bacterial SSU rRNA". It matches the Rfam family "Bacterial small subunit ribosomal RNA", at positions 61 to 820 of the family's 1533-position model. The record is from RNAcentral.